CCCAUUCAGACCCCAGUUUAGUUCAGGCACCCACAGGGAUUUUCACCACGGCCCCGCCCCCUCAGGGAACCUGCCUGACAUAGGAGGGGUCAGGACCAGGGUGGAGGUCGUAGGAAGCUGGGCUCGAUUUGGGAGAUGGGCUCGGGGGUCCCAACUGAAGCAGGGUUUUCCUCCUUUCCUCACCUUCUGGGAUCUAGUCUGGAGUUGUGGGGGGCCCCGACUUUCAUAGAAGUGCAGCCACAGCGAGCUCAGUGGAGUGCAGGGACAGCACCACACUCCUCAGGGCUGUGGGAGCUGAGGAUGGAGCCCUGCGGCCCUGAGGCCAUGAGUGGACAGAGAGAGGUGGGCAGGGGCCACCACACCAGAGAAGAGUGUCUCUACCUCGCCAGAGUUGCUGGCAGGUGCCAAGCUCCAGCCCAGGUACACGGGACCCCUGACCCUGCUCUGUUGGCAGGCAGGGGAGGGGAGGGUUCGGCACCCUGGGGUGCUUUGCCGGCAAUCUGGAGAGAGAAUGAGUGCACAUGUGUAGGCAGCUCUCUCAUCUCUGGGGGCUCCAGUGACGCCCAUCCUGGGGCUGUCUUGGUCGCUUUGCUCAGUCCAGUAUCAGGGUCUUUUUUCCCCGUUGUAGGGUCUGCAGCCUGCGGGAUGUGGACUCACAGAUGGGCAAUGUGUCCCUAGGUCUGGAUUGACCAGAAAAGCUGCUCCCUGGCCUCGGUGUGGGGAGGAGACACCACUCGUGCUCCUGGAGCCUCCUUCCCAGAGGAGGGCACCAACCCGGGGGCACUGACAGCUCUGAGGGAGCACCACCCCACGCCAAACUCAAUGGAGGGACCAGGCUGCUAUCUGGGGCCACCGUAGAGGGAAUUGCCUGCCUGCCACCUACCUAAGGGAUGGGCUCCCUUCCUCUGCUGGGACCUCCAUGGGCCUAUCGUGCCCACAAUCCAUGAGCCGUGGCCCCCAGGCAUUGCCAGGAAGCAGUCUACGUGAAAGGACGACGUGUCUAAUUUUGCAGCUACGUGGAGGAUUUGUCACACAGAACCAUCCGUUCAAUCUAGACCAUCACUAAAAGCACUCCGGAUAAUAAAUCUUCAUUUUGUAUUAACUGGAGAGGCAGCCGCCUUCUCAGAAUGGCUGUUCCCGCGUAAUCAUGAUAAAUGGAGAAUCCUGGACAGCCACUCUAAUCACCAGCAAAUAGACUGCGUGCAUCAGUCUGGAGCACAAACAAUAUUUGUUUCCCUUGUCUGAGCCAUCCCACCUCUUCUGGUUUCGACAGCACCUGCAAAGGACAGACGUCCUCCUACAGGGACCUGUAGAGUUUCCUUCACAUUGUCUCUGAUCUGUGGCUCUUGCAGCGGAGGGAACCAUCCCCCACUGUUCACAUUUCAACCCGGGCAGCAGAGGGCGCUCUAAAGCCCGGCCUCCCGUCAGUGACUGUGUAUAUUUAAAGGCUGUAAUUAAGGGGCCGUCAGUCAGAAUUCCCAUCACAGGUCCCAGCCUUGAAGUGGGUAACUUGGACUCUCUAGCUCACAGCAUGUUUUGAAAUCUGACAUUUGGAUACCCGGCUUGGGAAGAGUCUCCAUUUGAAAACAGUAAAUAGACGGGAAUUCCAAAGUCAGUCCACACUUUGGGACAGGCAGGGACGAGCGUUUUAGAUGGAGGAACAGCCUAAGUCCGUUCCAUGAUCAGACGUUGAUCACAUAUCUCCUGUGUCCUGAGCUCUGAGGACAGGCGCUAUUGAAGAAGGAACUGCCCUUGGCCAGAAGAAGCUCGCCACCCAGUGGAGGACAGUGACUCCCAGUCGGAUGGACUGCCACACCACGUGGCAAAGCAUGAGAGAAGAGUUGCCUCGAGCUAACAUCUGUUGCCAGUCUUCCUCCUUUUUUCUUCUCCACCCCCAAAGCCCCAGUACACAGUUGUGUAGACUUGCUCAGUAUUGGAGUCUGAUCAGUUUCCUUUGCAAGCAAACUCCUUCACCAGUCAGCCUGUCUGGAGAUUCUGUAUGGGCCAUCUGGUUGUGUCCUGGGAUUGGCUUGCUGCUGGAGUACUUGAGUAGCCUGGUGCUGGGGUGCUGUAAUCUCUCACCUGUAAUCCUCGGCUCUUUUGAAGGUAUUUUUGUGUACAGAUAGUUGUUCAAUGAAUGUUUCUCAGGGGGAUUGAGUGGUAGAAAUUCUUGUGGUACCAUUUAACUGAUGUCCUAUGUGCUAUUGAAUUUUGUUUGCUCAUAUUUUGUUGAGAAUUUUGCAUCUCUAUUCAUAAGGGAUAAUUGUCCGUAGUUUUCUUUUCUUGUGAUGUCUUUGUCUGGUUUUGGUAUCAGAGCAUUACUGGGUUCACAGAAUAAAUUGCAAAAGUGUUCCCUCCUCUUCUAUUUUUGGGAGAGUCAUUGAAGGAUUGAUAAUUCUUUUACUGUUUUGCAGAAUUCACCAGUAAUGCCAUCUGAUCAUGAGAUUUUCUUUGUGGG
Equus caballus (horse) is the source of this 2458-nucleotide long non-coding RNA. NCBI's taxonomy places the organism in Eukaryota, Metazoa, Chordata, Mammalia, Perissodactyla, Equidae. The record is from Ensembl.